GUGCCCCUGCACAACGCGUGUUCGUAUGGCCACUACGAGGUGACGGAGCUGCUGGUGUCGUGCGGCGCCGGCGUCAACGCCGCCGACCUGUGGCGGUUCACGCCGCUGCACGAGGCCUGCGCCAAGGGGAAGGCGGACAUUGUCCGGUUGCUGCUCAAGCACGGAGCAGACCCGACAAGGCGGAAUAGAGAUGGUCUCACGCCGUUGCAAUUGGUACGUGCAGGAGACACAGAUACAGCGGACGCGUUGAGAGGGGACGCCGCGUUGUUGGACGCGGCCAAAAGAGGAGACCUCGCCAGAGCAAGAAAAUUGAUAACGCCACAAAAUGUCAACUGCCGAGAUUCACACGGGCGGAAUUCGACGCCGU
This is a long non-coding RNA of Hyposmocoma kahamanoa, 367 nucleotides long. RefSeq lists it as uncharacterized. The record is from RefSeq and is a predicted model, not a curated record. The transcript is spliced from 3 exons. Lineage: Eukaryota; Metazoa; Arthropoda; Insecta; Lepidoptera; Cosmopterigidae.